GCUGGCAUUUGGGCAGAGGGUCCUGGUAGCGUGCUGUGGUGUGGGGCUCUGGCAUUUGGAAGCUGAAGCCAGUGGUCACCAGCUCUGUAGACUUCCUGUGAACUCAAAGGAUUUGUAUCUGGGAAAACUCUGCCUAGUUCGGUGGAGAGAUGGAAAAUAUUCCUAACGGAUAGGAGCUCAAACAAAGCAGAAGGCAGCUGAACCAUGGUGGGAGGUGAUGGUUGAAAGGGAAGAUCAGUGGCAUGGGAUGGGAUCACGGCAUCGUGCCCAGGGCUCCCUGCUGGGCCGUGGCAUUGGUGGCAUCGUUGGCUGGCACUGUCGUUGGGGUGUGGACACACAUGGGUCGGAGAAUCAUUAAGGUGCAGUGAGAACAUUCCAGUGGAGAGGAGCUUGUGCCAGAAUUUGCAAAGCAUGAUGAGGGCGAGCUGCACUGCAGGAGGUUCGUCAGCUGACAGAAAAAGCAUUAAAACAAAGCUAUUGUACAUGUA
This is a long non-coding RNA of Gallus gallus (chicken), 488 nucleotides long. RefSeq lists it as uncharacterized. The record is from RefSeq and is a predicted model, not a curated record. The transcript is spliced from 4 exons. Lineage: Eukaryota; Metazoa; Chordata; Aves; Galliformes; Phasianidae.